AAGCAGGGGAUCGCAAGACCUUGCGCUUUUGGAGCGGCCGAUGCCUGAUUAGCUAGUUGGUGGGGUAAGGGCCUACCAAGGCGACGAUCAGUAGUUGGUCUGAGAGGACGACCAGCCACACUGGGACUGAGACACGGCCCAGACUCCUACGGGAGGCAGCAGUGGGGAAUUUUGGACAAUGGGCGAAAGCCUGAUCCAGCAAUGCCGCGUGAGUGAAGAAGGCCUUCGGGUUGUAAAGCUCUUUCAGUCGAGAAGAAAAGGUCGCGACUAAUAAUCGCGACUCAUGACGGUAUCGACAGAAGAAGCACCGGCUAACUACGUGCCAGCAGCCGCGGUAAUACGUAGGGUGCGAGCGUUAAUCGGAAUUACUGGGCGUAAAGGGUGCGCAGGCGGCUUUGUAAGUCAGAUGUGAAAUCCCCGGGCUUAACCUGGGAAUUGCGUUUGAAACUACAAGGCUAGAGU
This 462-nucleotide ribosomal RNA is filed under the name uncultured ammonia-oxidizing beta proteobacterium. Its description in RNAcentral is "bacterial SSU rRNA". It matches the Rfam family "Bacterial small subunit ribosomal RNA", at positions 202 to 647 of the family's 1533-position model. Lineage: Bacteria; Pseudomonadati; Pseudomonadota; Betaproteobacteria. The record is from RNAcentral.